ACGCCAAAAAUGGCAAACCGGCAGAGACUAUGAGACGCAUCUUGAAGUUUCUCCAAACCACUGCAACAAGCCAACCCGCUCUUCUCUUCUCUUCUUAAUAUUUUACCCAUACGCAACCGCCUCCUCCUUCAUCCAACAAAUUCAUUUCCUUCUGACGAGGUUGCUUUCGUUUUCCCUCUCUCUUUUGAUCCGAAAACAUGUGGCCGCCGC
Molecule: long non-coding RNA, 210 nt
Filed under: Linum usitatissimum (flax)
Lineage: Eukaryota; Viridiplantae; Streptophyta; Magnoliopsida; Malpighiales; Linaceae
Description: long non-coding RNA (LUSI_LNC008057)
Source: RNAcentral